AUGGCUCUCGAGGCCAUCCUUCGCCUUGAUGUGGCCCAAAAAAAUAGAGUGUUUUUUGCUGAUAAGUGGGAUCUCAAGAAAAAACUCAAAAGAAGAGUGCUUGGUUUAACCACUUUCAAGAGUGCUUGCAAGGGGCAAUGCUCCAGAAUUACCAAUCUGAACGAGGGAUAUGUAAAUAUUUUGACAUCUGAAUCAACCAUAGAAGAAGAAGAACAGAAAAAUAUCCACCGCCUCAAGCAUGGCCCUGGGUGGGUUACUAUACAUGAGCACAAGGAGGUUGUCGUCCAAAAGCAUUUGUCAACCAUCAUGAAAAAAGAGGUGCCUAGGCAAAAGGAUUUUAAUUGGGAUUGUAUUCCCAAGCUAAUUUGUGAUCUUUGA
This 378-nucleotide ribosomal RNA is filed under the name Triticum aestivum (bread wheat). Its description in RNAcentral is "partial small subunit ribosomal RNA". The record is from RNAcentral. Lineage: Eukaryota; Viridiplantae; Streptophyta; Magnoliopsida; Poales; Poaceae.